RNAcentral lists this ribosomal RNA (459 nucleotides) under uncultured bacterium. RNAcentral's name for it is "partial 16S ribosomal RNA". It matches the Rfam family "Bacterial small subunit ribosomal RNA", at positions 338 to 795 of the family's 1533-position model. The record is from RNAcentral.
CCUACGGUAGGCAGCAGUGAGGCAUAUUGGUCAAUGGGCGGGAGCCUGAACCAGCCAAGUCGCGUGAGGGACGACGGUCCUAUGGAUUGUAAACCUCUUUUGUCGGGGAACAAAGGCGCCCACGGGUGGGCGGAUGAGUCUACCCGAAGAAAAAGCAUCGGCUAACUCCGUGCCAGCAGCCGCGGUAAUACGGAGUAUGCGAGCGUUAUCCGGAUUUAUUGGGUUUAAAGGGUGCGUAGGCGGACAGUCAAGUCAGCGGUAAAAAUGCGGUGAUCAACGCCGUACAGCCGUUGAAACUGGUUUUCUAGAGUUGGAGAGAAGGAUGCGGAAUUCGUGGUGUAGCAGUGAAAUGCAUAGAUAGCACGAAGAACUCCGAUUGCGAAGGCAGCAUACCGGCUCCAUACUGACGCUGAGGCACGAAAGCGUGGGGAUCGAACAGGAUUAGAUACCCGAGUAGUC